RNAcentral lists this unclassified non-coding RNA (339 nucleotides) under Hevea brasiliensis (rubber tree). The record is from RNAcentral. Lineage: Eukaryota; Viridiplantae; Streptophyta; Magnoliopsida; Malpighiales; Euphorbiaceae.
UUUUGAUGAAAACGAGUGCCACCAGCGUUGCUUGGAUAACUGUUCCUGCUCAGGUUAUGCAUAUGUAAAUGGGAUAGGGUGUUUGCUUUGGACAGGAAACCUACUGGAUAUGCACGAGUUAUCCUUCGGUGGACAAGAUCUUAAUCUCCGCCUUGCUCAUACAGAAUUGGGUGGAAGUGACCAGAAGGCCAAGGUUAAGAUCAUUAUCAGCGUCACUACUGUUUCAAUUAUCCCCCUCAUUGGUGCCAUGAUUUAUUGUUUCAUGAAGUGGAGAACCAGCUUAAGGGUUAAAACAAAUGGUAUGAAACUGAGACGCCGCUACUUUGCUGAUGUUAGUUG